This 3717-nucleotide long non-coding RNA is filed under the name Homo sapiens (human). RNAcentral describes it as "HSALNT0150282". Lineage: Eukaryota; Metazoa; Chordata; Mammalia; Primates; Hominidae. The record is from RNAcentral.
CCGCCAUCUGUUGAUAUCUUCCUAAUCUGUAUCUUCAAAAUAGACUUCUAUUUCAGACUUGUAUAAUUUAAUGGGAAGCAGAUGUCUCACAGACACCUCAAGCUCAACGUCCUGUUCCCACCCUCUCACUUUCUAUUGAAACUGUCUCUGCUGUCUGUACUCCCUUCCUUGUUCUUUUGCACCUGGACUAGACAGAAGACUACAGUUCAAUAAGAAGGAAACACAUUCAUUUUCAGUAUUGUUAAUAAAGAAGCUUACCUAAAAGAAGGAAAUCAAAACAAGAUAAUCUACACUGCAACUAGGGGAGGCUAUUGAAUGUGAUGGUCCCCUCAGAUGCCUAGAGGAAGAUGAACAAUGGUAAUCAGAUAUCCUAAAGUUAUCUUUAGGGCACUGGCAAAAUAGCAGCAAUGCCUGGUGGAAGCUGACUUUGUGCAUACACAUGAGAGCCCACAGAAAACUUCAAACUUCAUGGAAAUAAAACCUUCAGCUGCAGCUAAGAAUUUGGAGGUUACUGAAGGAGGUUACUUUUUCAAGAGCAGAAGUAAGGAUUCCACUGAAUUUGCUCACCAAAGAUAAGUCAGCAAAGAAAACUUACUGAAGAAUACAGACAGCAUAUCAGCUCCUGCUUUCCAGACAAACUUCCUGGGUCUUGGGAAGAAGAAAGCCUCAGACUAAGAACUCUCUCUGGACUCAGACAGCCUGAAUUCAAAUCCCAUCUCUAUUCUUACUAGUCAUAUGAACACAGAUAGUGAAGAAUGAAAGAGAAGCAAAACAGAUCCUGCAGGUUGUGCUCACCACGGUGAAAAUCAUUAUUUGCAACUCCCACAGGAGAACCAUAUCCAUUCAGCUCACUUUGGACCACCUGUGGAGCCUGAUAACCAGGGAACAGAGAACCUGUUGAGAUCCAAAUUUGUGUGCCAGAUCACAAACUCAUCUGAAGCAGAUGCCACGUGUUACACUGUUAUGUCUCUCAGAGACUCCAGCACUUUGAAAGUAUUAGGCCUUGCUUAUUGAGAUGAAUAUUUUUUUCUAGGCAUGUCCCAAAGUUCUCAGCAUAGCUACAACCCUGAUUUUCACAGGAUUUUCAUUAAAAUUAGGUUCUAGAGCAUUACUUCCCUAAUGUGCAAUGCAACUUACGUUUAGUUUUCAAAUCAAAAUUAGUUUUGUUUUUCCACUGUCUUUGUCUUUGAAAAUAUUGAACUUGGGAUUUCCAAAAUUAUAAUUAGCAAUUAUUUUUACAUAUCUUUUAUAUACAUAACUUUUACAAUGGCUGCCAUUAUCAUGUAGGUUCUUAGGAAGUGUUUCUGAUCCUUGUAAAUAAAAGUGAAAGAAGAAAUCUUUACUGCUUGCUGACCCAUGUGACUAACCUUGAAAUCAGAGAGGCAGAUUCAUUUAAAACAAACUUGCAAACUGUUAAGCAAAGUACUGAAUCUCUGUGACUUGACCAAAAGUAAUUCAGACUUGACUAUUCCAGGCUCCCUUCUAUCUCUGUAGCAACCCAUGCAUCAUAGACUCCAGUUGCAAUGGAUGGUCAAGGAAUCUGCUGUGCCUUUUGAGUCUCUCCAUUUUAUAUUGCCAAAUUUAUCUUCCUUUAAUACUUCACUUCACAUAAGACACUAAGAUAAACAAGGAUGCAACUCACUUAUAUUUCAAAAUAGUACCUAGUGGUUAAAAGUACUUGUUCUGAAAGCAACUCUAUUUUUCUAGUUCUAACAUGUCUCCAACUAGUUAUCUCACCUUGAGCUUGGCACAUAAUCACUCCAUCUUACUUUUGCAUCUGUGACACAAGAAAAAUACCACCCACCUCAACAUAGAUCUUAUGAAGAUUAAAAUAAGAUUAUGAAAGUAAAAUGCUCAGCACAAUGUCUAAACGAAAAUAAAUGCUCAGCAAGUAGGAGCUACUAUAAUUAUUAUCCAGAUCAAAUAUUUUCUCCUCUAUGAAGCUUUCUUAUUCUUCCCCAGCUGGAAUUACUUAUUUUCUUCCUUGCUUUCUACACCACACUUUAGUCACCACCAUGCUGGCACUUGUCUCACCGCAUUAUAAUUAUUUAUGUGCCUGUGUUCCAUAACCAGAAUAUGGGACUUAAGCUUCUUUAUACCUCCAGCAUAAUUGUUUCAUGUGUGCUUUUAGGUAAUGGAGUAAAAUGGAUGAAUGAGUGAAUGCGACUAUAGUACUAAAUGCUCUUAGAUAAAGAUGUAAUUAUUCUUAAGUGAUAAAAUUAUUCGAACAUGAGUAGUUCAGAUAAUGAGAGACUGUCAUAGAAUUACUUGAUAAAAUCUAGUCAAUAAAAUGGCUUGGCAAUAUAACCUUUAUGAUUUCUUUAAACAAUCAUUCAUUUCUUUCUGAAGAUGAGAAGAGGAGAUUCCUUCUCCCAUCUUUAUAUUUCAACAAUGAUUAGAAAACAAAUUGAUCUCUGGGAUCAGUGCCCAAUACCAUUAAAGUGGUAUACAUCUUACAAUUCUUAAUUAAUUUGUGGCAUACAUAUACCAGUCUCCACAGCCAGCUUCAUCUGCAUACAGCAGCAUAAUCACUUUUUUCCUUAUAGUAAAGACAUAUUAUGAGUCAUCAAAGUCUUCUCCGGGGGUUGUGGUUAUCAUCUGGUAAUCACACCCUUGGGAGGUUAAAAACACUUAUCUUUGGAUCAUGACUUGCAAUGCCCCAGGGGUGUGAUUAUCUCAGGCAACUCACACUUUCUGUCAUGCCUAAUUGCUUAAUUAUUAUAGCUGCAAGUUCACACCACCAUACAGGAACUCAUGUUGUGUCAGCAUUUCCACUAUAAAUUCCUUUUUCAAGAGUCUAUAACUCAGCCAUAAAAAAAAAAAAAAAAAAAACCUAUGGUCCAUUGAAGCACUGCAGUAAGAGUCUUAUUCCAGGAAACAUUUCUGUAAUAGGUUAAUUGUAUCUUAAAAAUUGGGUCCUGAUUCUCAUAGUUAGUUCACCAAAGAAAUAAAUGCUAAUUAAAUGUCUCUAAAUUAUAUAUUUUUCUGUAUGGCUGGGUAAAUAAUGUAAAUCCUAAAGACAUAAAUAUUAUUUUUUAAAUAUAACAAGAAUGGCUCAUACAAUUUCCAGUUUUUUGGAAAUACACUUACACAUAUUUAUAAAAUAUUAUAUAAGUAGAAUGAGCUAAACCAUAGUUAGAGAACAUUGUCAUAUGCAAUCAUGUACUACAUAAUAUUUCAGUCAGUGGACAGCAUGUGGCAGUGGUCACAUAAGAUUAUAACGCAGCUGAAAAAUUCCUGUUGUCUAAUGACAUCAUGGCUGUCAUAACUGUCAUGGCCGUCAUGGCCAUCUGAACAUUGUAGUACAAUGUAUUCCUCAUGUGUUUGUGGUGAUGCUGAUGUAAACAAGCAUCUGCACUGCCAGUUGUAUAAAAGUGUAGCACAUACAAUUAUGUACAUACAAUUAUGCACACACAAUUAUGUACAACACAUAAUAUUUUAUAAUGACAAUAAACAAUUUUGUUACCGGUUUAUGUAUUCACUGUACUAUACCUUUCAUCAUUAUUUUAGAGUGUACUCUUUCUACUUAUAUAUAAAAAAAAGUUAAUUGUAAAACAGCCUCUAGCAGGUCCUUCAGGACAUAUUCCAGAAGAAGGCAUUGUUAUCAUAGGAGAUGACGGUUCCAUGCGUGUUAUUGCCCCUGAAGACCUUCCAGUGGGUCAAGAUAUGGAGGUGAAAGACAGUGAUAUUGAUGAUCCUGACCCUGCGUAGGCCAAG